RNAcentral lists this long non-coding RNA (1132 nucleotides) under Pan troglodytes (chimpanzee). RNAcentral describes it as "long non-coding RNA NONPTRT002424". The record is from RNAcentral. Lineage: Eukaryota; Metazoa; Chordata; Mammalia; Primates; Hominidae.
GCGAGCCCCUCCCUGGAGCUGCCCUUGGAGGGCACCUGCUUCAGGUCUCAUCUCCAGGGUGGUGCUGGGGACCGGGCACUGUCUCCUGAACAGUCCCACAUGGUGGCCUGGGCGGCAUGCCUGUGGGAUGGGGAAACCGAGGCACAGACAGUCACGUGCUCUUCCAGUUGCAGGUUAGACCCCACUUGCGGUUGUGUGUUCCAGAAGUCUCCGGGCGCUGUGUGGCAGGAUGAGGAGCUGCCCCCCUGGAGGAUCACGCAGGCCUCUGGGUGGCAUUCAGCAGGGUUGGCUGCGGCACCGGCUGACCACAGGGCCCAACUUUCCAGUCCCAGCCGGAGGGAAGCGUCUCAACCAUGUUGUAGGCACACGGGUGAGGGUGCUGCCUGCCUCCCUGACUCUUACCUCCCCAAGAGAGGAAAACAAAAGAAAAAAAGAUAAGACCAGGAAAUGGAAAUAAGACAAAGAAGAAUGAAAUUUUAAAAUCCGAACAAACCCAAACAUGCUGUUUCAAAACGUAAGUCCAUGAAGAGUCUCGUGGUGAGAAAGACAGAAUUCCUAGCCAGGAAAAUGCCCCGUGCUUGCCCCUCGGAGGCAGGUGCUCACCACGGCAGGGUCUAUCUAGGUGUUUAUUAAGGUGUCUCACCACGUAUCGCCCAGAUUCACCAGAGAUGCAGAGGCGGAGGAUACGUUCCUGUUUACAUUGAUACAUAGUUACAUAGGUGAAGAGCUUUACAGCGAGGAAGCGGCUCACGCGGCCAUGAGGGACCCAGGCAGGAGCUGCUGUUGCUGCCCCAGCAACUCCACGAGUGCUCGAUGGGAAACUGCAGACAGCAGCCUUGCCAAGCGGAUGCCCAGGGCCGACCACCGCAGCCCCUCCAGCCACGUUCUCCAUCAGGGCAGCCUCCUGCUGGCUUCGGCACUGCAGGCAGCACACCAGCGAGGGGUGGGGCUGUGUGCCACGAAGCGUCAUCCAUGGACAUGCCACGAAGGGUUAUUCUUCUUUUGACUUUUUCUGAUGGUUUAAAACUGUAAGAACAUGCAGCUCACAGUCCGCACGGAAGCAGGCAUGUGGCUCCUGCCUCACUGUGGGAGGAAAGAUGUUCUCUAAAGAAAUGGCUGGGUUUGCGGAGGG